CAGCAGCCGCGGUAAUACGUAGGGCGCAAGCGUUGUCCGGAUUCAUUGGGCGUAAAGGGCUCGUAGGCGGUUUGGUAAGUCGGGUGUGAAAACUCAGGGCUCAACUCUGAGACGCCACUCGAUACUGCCAUGACUAGAGUCCGGUAGAGGAGUGUAGAAUUCCUGGUGUAGCGGUGAAAUGCGCAGAUAUCAGGAGGAAUACCGAUAGCGAAGGCAGCACUCUGGGCCGGUACUGACGCUGAGGAGCGAAAGCGUGGGGAGCAAACAGGAUUAGAUACCCUGGUAGUCCACGCCGUAAACGUUGGGUACUAGGCGUGGCGUCUUAUCAACGGAUGCCGUGCUCGAAGCUAACGCGUUAAGUACCCCGCCUGGGGAGUACGGCCGCAAGGCUAAAACUCAAAGGAAUUGACGGGAGCCCGCACAAGCGGCGGAGCAUGCGGCUUAAUUCGAUGCAACCCGAAGAACCUUACCUGGGCUUGACAUCACGGGAAAAACCCUGGAAACAGGGUGUGCGAGAGCGUCCGUGACAGGUGGUGCAUGGUUGUCGUCAGCUCGUGUCGUGAGAUGUUGGGUUAAGUCCCGCAACGAGCGCAACCCCUGUGCUAUGUUGCCAGCACGUAAAGGUGGGGACUCAUAGGAGACUGCCGGGGAUAACUCGGAGGAAGGUGGGGACGACGUCAAAUCAUCAUGCCCCUUAUGCCCAGGGCUGCACGCAUGCUACAAUGGUCGGUACAACGGGUCGCGAUCCUGCAAAGGGGAGCCAAUCCCUCAAAGCCGGCCUCAGUUCGGAUUGGAGUCUGCAACUCGACUCCAUGAAGUCGGAGUCGCUAGUAAUCGCAAAUCAGCAAAGUUGCGGUGAAUACGUUCUCGGGCUUUGUACACACCGCCCGU
RNAcentral lists this ribosomal RNA (891 nucleotides) under uncultured marine bacterium. Its description in RNAcentral is "bacterial SSU rRNA". It matches the Rfam family "Bacterial small subunit ribosomal RNA", at positions 509 to 1397 of the family's 1533-position model. The record is from RNAcentral.